Molecule: long non-coding RNA, 4899 nt
Filed under: Sus scrofa (pig)
Lineage: Eukaryota; Metazoa; Chordata; Mammalia; Artiodactyla; Suidae
Description: lncRNA (ENSSSCG00035033483.1)
Source: RNAcentral
ACUAACUUUAGUGUUAUUUUUGGAUUCCUCUUUCUUUUUGUGUGUAUCUAUUAUGGAUUUUUGGUUUGUGGUUACCAUGAGGUUUUGAUAUAGGAGUCUAUAUAUAUAUAUAUAUGAUUGUUUUAAGUUGCUGAGCUCUUAUUUUCAAGUGCACUUUAUUUUUACUUAUUUAUUUAUUUUAGGCAAGAAAUAGAUUUAUUAAGAUAGGACGCUGUGAGUGAUGCAAGCAGGCAGGCAAGGAGGCUCUGCCUCAAAUGUACUUUAAAUAUCCUGUAUCUGUACUCUCCUCUUUUCACAAUUACUGAUUUUGAUACCACAUUUUACAUCUAAUUGUGUUUUUUUUUAUCCCCUAACUGCUUAUUGUGGAUACAGAUUAUUUCACUGCUUUUGAAACAGAUUCACAGAUAUAAAAAACAAACUUUUGGUUACUAAAGAGGAAAAGGGAGGGAUAAACUAGGAGUUGGGAUGAACAUGAGCACAUUACUAUAUAUACAAUAGAUAACCAACAGGUAAGGGUCUACUGUACAGCACAGAGAACUAUACCAAAUAUCUUGUAAUAACCUAUAAGGGAAAAUAAUCUGAAAAAGAACAUGCAUAUGUGUAUAUAUAUACACAUAUAUAUACACACAGAGCUGAAUCACUUUGCUGUACAGCUGAAACCAACACAAUAUUAUAAAUCAAUUAUAUUUCAAAAACUCUAUUUCUUUACAAAAAAGAAAGGAAAAAGGGAAUUAAAUGAGAUUACAAGUGAAAUCCCAUGGUAGAUACUCAAAAAAGUUUGUUAAAGUGAUUCCUCUUAAAAUGUAUUUUCUGAUUAUUUUACUCUUCUGGACACUGUUUUUCAAUACGGAUCCAUUCUAUAUGCUCCUUCCCCUACAGGUUUCUUCUCCCCUACACCAAUUCGGGAAUUUAAAAUUCUGCUAUUUUAAAUAAUUCAACAUAGGACAGUAAUGUGAUGUUGUUCAGUUGACAAAAUAUUUUCACGUUUUGAUUUGAAUUAAUAUUUACAUACAUUCUGUGAAUCCAUAAGGAGAACAUAUUCACAUUUCAUAGGUGUGGGAUGGAAGAUCUUUGUAGACAAGGUCAAGUAGAUUUAAUAAGGGGCAAAGUUCCUAAAAGCUGUUUUUCCUAAGAAAUGCAAAAAUCAAUUAAUUUAUUUGUUAAUUAUAAAAUUAAGUAACUACUGUUGCUAGAUGUCAGGCUAGCACCUAAACAUUCAGAGAUGUGUAAGACUGACAUUGUGCCUAUUUUUUCUACAUGUAAAGAAAGAACAUUGAACAAGUAUACUUAUUCAAUGAAUAGGAAGUUAUGAAGGAUGUGAAGACAACAUAAAGUAGGUAAUCUUGGCCAGGUCUAGAUUUGGUAACUGUUAGCUUUUGGUGAGUUCUCAAUAAGGAGCAUUGGUCAUUUAAGUAACAUCAUAACUAUCACCAUAACACCAUAGAAUCAUUUAUUUUCUAUCCAGUCAUACAUAAUUGUGAGGCCUAUACUUUAUAAUAAUCCACCUCCUUUCAUAUUAAUUUCCAAAAAAUGUUAGAACUUCAGUGAACUGAUUUGGAAAACAAAAUUUUUGCUGGCAAUUAUUCAGAAUCAUGACCUACCUUGCUUUUCUCUGAUGAAACAAUGGGCUCACCCAACAGCAAAAGGGCCCUUAGUAAAGAAACCAUCCUGUUUUCAAGAGAGGCAGGCAUGUUGAUGAAUGACAACGUUUUCACUACUGGAACUUAAACUUUCCCCCAUGAGCUAUUGGGGACUCUAGAAAGAAAUCAUCGUUUUUAAUUCUGGUAGGUUCAGUCAAGAUAAUGAUGAUCCUUUGAAUCACUUUGCUGUGAUUCAUAUUUGAAAAAAUAUGUACAAAGGAAUCCAGGUAUCUUUCCCAAAUACUUUUCAAACGCACCUUGCAGAAUUAUAGUUUUAUGGGUAUAUUUUUUCUAUUCUAGGUACCCUUAAGUGUAAUACAUUUGUGAUGCACUGGAUUAUUCACAUGGAAGAACAAUCAUUUUUUAUUUUUCAUUUUUUUGUUUUUUUUUUCUAUGUAAGAUACUAUAAAACACAUCUCAGUUUAGAAUCCUGGGCAUCUCAUCAUUUCCUUUCUUCCCAGAGGACUGAGAUUAAUAAUGGCCAAAAGAGCCCAUGUAUGUAGAGUGUAAGUUUUACUUUUCUGCUCCUAUGACUUCAUACCCUAGGUAAUACACCUCUGAAUAAAUGGCUGUCUCAUCAUCUCUAUCCUGGACCAUCAUGCAAACUCACUGUCCUAGUUUUAAUACACAUUCACCUUCAGCCUCCUACUUCUAAUGGGCUUGCCAGGCUGCCUCCCCUUUUAGAGUUUGCCCAAAGAAAAGGGCAAACUCCAAAAAAAAAAAAAAGAGAAACAUCAUCUCCAUAAACCAUUUAGUCAACUGGCUUCAUUACUAAAUGCUACGUUGUUUACCAAUAGCCUGGGGGUUUCCUCCCCUUAGAGAAGAGAAAAAACACCCUGGGCAAACAAGUGUUUCCGACACAAUAACUCUUUAAUCUCUGCUUCUAACUGGAAUGUGAUGGUCACACCUCUUUUGAAUUAUUCCCCACAUUGAGUUAACAGCCUCUCCAUUGUACACACCUCCAUUACUAUACUUUUUACCUUGAAUUUCAAUUAUUUUUUAAUUUAUCUCUUUUGUGAAACUAUGAGUGUCUAGUUUACAAGGAUAGCGACAUUUUUCUAUGCAGUUCUAUACCUACCAUUUAAAGGCAUCACCCUCAGUAAGUGUUUGUUAAAUAUUUGUUAGAUGAAUAAGAAUUGCAUGUUUAAUACCAGAGGCUACAAUUAUUUUGCAGCACCUUUUAAUAACUGACCACAGAAAAGUAUUUACUAAGAAGUUUCUAUCUAGAAGCACACACUAUAAAAUGGUUAAAUAUGGCCUUAUCUUUUAAUAACAUUAUAUAUAUAUCACUUCUAUGAUAAAUAAAAGCCAUUUGAGUUAUGUAUCACCAACCACAAGCAAACUUAAUAAAAGCCUCCAUAUAAGAUUAAGAACGUGAGCUAUGGCAUAAAAUCGGCUUCUUCAGAAGAAAGUAUUAAAAGUUUGGAGAUUAAAAAUAUAAUUUACCUUGAUAGUGGCCCCAAGACAGUACAGUUUAUGACCUAAUGAAGUAAGUACAAACAAGCACCUCUCAAGGUCUCCUUCCUCUGGCUUCGGAGGAUUUCUCCAACCAGAUCACAGCUCACAAUCCCAUCAAUGUGCUGUGUCAUUGCUAUAGCCCCACCUGCGCUCUUUCUUUAACUUUAGGCUUAGGUGACUUAAAUUUCAUUCAAGUCACAUGUGAGUAUGACCAUAUCUUCUUUGAGGUCCUAUCGCAUUUGUGUUGUAUAUACCCUUUAGGGUGUGCAGCCCACACUGAACCCUGACUACCUCAUCCUUAGACAGGGAUCACUACAGGAUCCCAUCCUUCAAGGCACAGCUGAUUAAAUUAGAAAGGGAUGUCAGUGACCAAACUGUUCAGGCUCUACCCAUACCACUCACCCUUACCACUUCAGUUUGCCCAACACCCAAGUGUCAGACUUAGCACAUUUUGCCUCAAGUCUCUCUCCAAAGCCGAAGAAGACCGUUCUCUCCAAGGACAGAGCAAGCCAGAAGUACUGUAGGAUUAUCACCCCCUAAUAACACCUUCAACCAAUGAUGAUGGGAGUUGAUGUGUAGUCAGUCCUUUGCCAGCUUGGAUGGAAUAACUGAGUGUAUGUUCUGCUGGGCAUUUUUCCAUUUCCCAGUGGAUUGCCCUCCGGUCACCCUUAGUCAGAGCCAGCUUAGUAACAUCCUAUAUUGGAUGCCUUAUCUUCCCCGUUCCACUUGCCCAUGUUCCUUUCUUACAUGCCCCCCCCCCCAUGUAAUACGUUUGCACUGAAACUCUUAUUUCAAGGUCUGCUUCUUUGAGAAUCCAAACUAAGUCUACACCCAAACCAAGGGAGCCAGUCAGAUUUUCUCGCCUGGGAUUUUGUAACUAAAAGCAAUGAAAUUUCACCUGGGAUGGUAUGAAAAUGUAUUCUUACUUUUUUUUAAAUUUUAGUCCAUUUCAGAGGGUCAGUUCCAUCCUUCAAUUCUAUUAUUCAUUUCUGUAUUUAUAUAACAAAUGUCUUUGGGUUUUAGCUAAGCAUAAAGUUGAGUUUUGUUACUUUGAACCAAAAUAUCUUAUUUUACCAUUUUUAUUAACUGAAAUAUCAUAUUUGAAAACAAGAUAGGACCCUUCAUCAAGUCCAACCUUCAUAUUGUAGAUAGAAAUACAAAAUGAAAAUAAUUGCCAGAGAUGCAAAGCCUUCCCUUUUUCUUUCUUCUAUCACCUUUCCCCAAACCUGGUACUGAAUACCAAAUGAAACUUCAUAUUUGAGAGCCUAUGUCCAUUCUUAGCUUCGUAUUAUCAUUCAUCUAUUCAUUCAACAAAUAUUUAUGGAAUGUUCACAUGCCAGUCAGUGAGUUAGGCACUUGAAAUAUAACACAGAGACUGAGGUAUAACACAGAGACUAAGAUUGCUCUUUCCAGGACUUCUCCUGUGGCACAGUAGGUUAAGGAUCCAACAUUGUCACUGCAGUGGCCUGGGUUGCUGCUGUGCUGCAGAUUUCAUCUCUGGCCCAGGAAUUCCCAUGUGCUGUGGGCAUGGCAAAACAACAACAACAACAAAAAAAGAUUGCUCAUUCCAAUAGUGUCCUUACAGAGGGGAAUGCAACAGUGAGUGCGCAAGUGCAACAGCACUUCUACGAUGGGAGAAGUACUGGGUCCUAUGAGAAUAGGUAGCAAGAAAUCGAACCAAGACCCAGGAUAUAUGGAAUAUUUUUUAGAGAAAAUGUUGGAAUGAAUGGCCCAUAUUUGAGGAGCACAUAACAAAUUCUCUCUUUCCCAGGACCUUCACAGACAUUCCAUUCCCUUCUCC